AUAAUGAUACUUCCGUAUAGUCACAGUCCGAGCGUGAUCAAACCGUCGCAGGCAAUGAGUACGGCCCGCCAUCAGAAUGGAGGGAGGUGAAAGUCCUAUGA
Papillibacter cinnamivorans DSM 12816 is the source of this 101-nucleotide regulatory RNA element. It matches the Rfam family "pemK RNA". The record is from Rfam. Lineage: Bacteria; Bacillati; Bacillota; Clostridia; Eubacteriales; Oscillospiraceae.